GCUGGGGUCCUGGUACACAGCAAAACUCCCACCUCCUGCUGAGUCCUGGUGGCUGCUGCAGCUGCCUGGGAAAAGAGGCAUUGCAGCUGAGGGGAUGCAGGGGCUGGCACUGCCCUCUUCACCAGGCUGCAGCAGGUUCAGAGGCACAGCUGGUGAAGGCCAACAGAGUAACAGAAACCUGUAGAGCCUGAUCACCUGCUGUAUAUUUUCAGGACCUUGUAUUUACUUCUGUUACAGAAUCAUAGAAGAGCCCAUGUUGGAAGCAGCCACGAAAGAUCUUCUGAUCCAGCCACUUAUGGGAAAAGGAACCCUAUCUAGCACCCUGGGACUGGCCCAACUUGAAAACCUCCAGUGAUGGGGACUCUACCAUAUCCUUGGAAAGGUUGUUCCAGUGUAAAAAAUGUCUUUAUUCUAUCAUGGGAACCAGCCCCACUUCAAGGGAAGGAAACAUGUCUGUCAGCAGCUGACAGGACACACAGCUGCUCAUUGGGCCUGGAGCUGGAUGCUUGGCAUGGUACAAAGGCAGAUUCUGGGAGAAGGAAAGAAGAUGUUGGGAAAGACAAGGAAAGAAGAAAAGGACAGGGACCAUCUAGGGAUCUAGAAACAUCAGAAAUGAGAGAACUGUUCAAAUUACUUUUGGAAGAUUUCUUCAAAAGAAGUCACAGCCUUCUUUAUGAGGGGUUGGGAUAAUCUUCCAGAGAACAGUCCAGCAGCUCAGCAUCUGUUUUGGUGCAGAAAUAAUUUUCUAUCUAGAGUCUGGCAUUUCAAUUAUCUUGAAAUUUGCCAAGAAAAUUGAUGAUAAAAUGAAAUAAAUAAUUUUCCUAUUUUAUCUAUUAAAUACUC
This 843-nucleotide long non-coding RNA is filed under the name Junco hyemalis (dark-eyed junco). RNAcentral describes it as "lncRNA (ENSJHYG00000009396.1)". The record is from RNAcentral. Lineage: Eukaryota; Metazoa; Chordata; Aves; Passeriformes; Passerellidae.